Molecule: long non-coding RNA, 287 nt
Filed under: Panax ginseng (ginseng)
Lineage: Eukaryota; Viridiplantae; Streptophyta; Magnoliopsida; Apiales; Araliaceae
Description: long non-coding RNA (PGIN_LNC008758)
Source: RNAcentral
UUCAUGUUCAGGCUAAGAGAAACUAUUAAAACAGAGUUACAUGUUGGUCCCUAUGAUUCAAAAAAUGAUUAGAUUCUUCUUCUCCAUGUUCUGAGAAUUGCCAAUAAAGAUCUCCUUGAAGCUUGUGUGUUAUAACAUGAACAUUUCAAAGAUGGCAAACGAUUAUGAUAUGGAACCAUGCAUAUACAUAAACCUAACAAAUCUUUUCUUUUUCUGAUUUACAGAACCUAAUUAGAUGAAAUUGAAAAACCAACACAGCAUUAACUCGCCAAUGUCUUCUCUAGUCC